This is a long non-coding RNA of Oryzias sinensis (Chinese medaka), 2575 nucleotides long. The record is from Ensembl. NCBI's taxonomy places the organism in Eukaryota, Metazoa, Chordata, Actinopteri, Beloniformes, Adrianichthyidae.
AACAACACAAAGGAUCAUUGUUGGUCCGUCACACGUUGGAAUCUGGAGCUGCUGCUCCUCACCACCGGCAGGGUGAGGGCCUCCUGCUCCACGUCCUGCCGGCUGUGGGACAGGAUGAGCGCCAGAACCUCCACCGUCUUCCCCAGCCCCAUCUCAUCGGCCAGGAUCCCGCCGGGCCACUCCGUCCCGCUCAGCGGGAAUUCCCGGAUUAAACUGAAAGAACAGGACGGCGGGAACCUUCAGCAUCAACGUGAACGCCUUCAGAAACGGCGGUUAUUCCCUCCGUUCCAGCUGUGCUUUUUCUAAGCCCCGCCCAGCUGCUCCUCAUCACCUGCAUGAGGUGUGUUUGGGGCGUUUUUACUUUAUAAGAGCUCAAAGGUCCCUGUUUUCCUACAGAGCUCUUCUCCUGCUUCCUCGUGAACUUUACAUACUAGAUUGGGGGCGGAGCUCUUGUCUGGAACCUCCUCUUUUCGGUUUGUCUGUCUUUAGUCUGUAACCCGUCAGUGUUUUGUUGGUGGUCUUACCAGCCCGUAAAAGGAUUGUAAAACAACUUCUUUCCACACAAAGUGAGCAGCUCCCUCCAGAGGAAAUGCAGCGACGGAUCUGCAAACAGAGCGGAGGCCGCCGUUUGAGCGCCGGCGGGAAGAGGAGGAGCAGGGAGGAGGGGAUCUGGAGCAGCACGGUACCUUUAGGAGCACAGCUCCUGUGCUUCUCCCUCCUCAGCAUCCAGUUGACGGCCUGGCUCUGGUAGAGCCUCAGCACCGGGAUCAGAGCCUUGUGCUGCACGCCCCACGCCGCCUGCUGGCUCUCGCUCUGAUGCACGUGUCGGACGUAGUCGUAGAGCUCCUCCACGUUCUGCCUCUCCAGGAGCUGGUUGGCCUUUUUCAGACGAGCGCUGCCCUCACUGAGGAACUGGGGCUGUCCCAGGCCGGAUUCCAACAGGUAGAUCCCCACCUGUGGGGCAGAAGUGGUUCACGUCUGCUUCAGUGAAGAACUUCAACAAAACAACAUUUGAUGAAAAUUGUGUUUUUUAAACGUUUUCUUGAUUUUUCUGAUGAUGGAGGACAAAUAAGAAUAAAAUAAAAACUGCAUUUCUGAGUCUAAACCUUGAUUCAAUAUUUGAAAAAGAUCAUCUUUGUGAUGUAGGCGCUGUAGGAUCAGAAAGGGGCGGGGCAGGAGGACUAUAGCCCCGCCCCUUUAUGAUCCUCCACCUCCAGACCAAUAGAACGUCUGAGCUGGAAUCUGGAUCAGAACCGGACGGAUGGAUGGAUGUUGAUCGCUGUUUUUGUUGCACCGCUAACGUUGGGUUGUGAGGGGCUGUAAGCUAGUGGGAGGGCUCUCAGUUAUGGGAAGAGGGGGCGGGGUUGCUCUGCGCCAGCAGUCAGACUCAGAGGUGAGUUUCUGAUGGACUCCUGCCGCUCUGCAGACACUAUGUCCUAGAAAACCACCACACAGGUUUUUGAACUUCUGGCUAAAAACGACAUCGUCUCCAUGAAACGAUCACUGGGAACACGUUACGAUAGAUCAGAGGAUGAUCGGAACUUUAGAAACGUCCUAAAAGAUUAUUUUCUGCCGCAUUUAGAGAUAAUAAAUAAUCGAUCUGUAAAUGAGUAAGCAGCAGAUAGAAGGGCUAAGGUCUGAGGACCCGUGCUAACGUGUGCUAAUCUAUGCUAACUGAAGAUCAGACCCUGACCCCUCCUGCAGGAGAAAAGCUCCUAACGUGAAGCGACUUCACUAAACAGGAUCCUCUCACAGAUCCGACUGAAACGCUGAGUCAUCACAGAACCAGGAAGUGACGGGUCCACCUUGAACGCCGGAGCGUCCGCCUGGUGGAGCAGCUGCACCGCGCGCCUCCUCUGCAGCCAGUCCAGCUCCUCCAGGGAGACCCCGCUGAGGCCGGCCUCCGAGGGGCAGCUGUCCCCCCCCCGGGCUCCACGGCUGCUCCUCGGUGCUGUAGCUGAGGCAGAGCUGCCCCCCUGUCCGGCGCAGCGUGAACGCCGUCUGCUCCCAGUCGGGUGGGGGCCGAGCCGGCCGCACUCGGAACUCCCCAAGGAGAGCCUUCCAGACGUGGGCGAGCCUCGGAGCCGGCAGGACAGACAGCGCCAAGGAGGCGGAGCAAGGGCCGCCGUCCGCAGACGGGCCGGGACGCUGGUCUGAAACCCGGAGGGGGGGCGCGCAGAAAGCCUCUACACCGCUGGGGAAGGAACUGCUGGCACAAGGGUCCCCGAAAGGCCGGGAGCAGGAUGGGGUCUGCUCCUCUUCCACCUCCUUCCUGCGGUCCUCCAACAUGUCCCAGUCCAGCCCCCGUUUAGCCUCCUCGUCCACCCUCACGGGGGGGGCCCUCUUCCGGCGGCUGCUCAUGCUGAAGACCUAAACACAGACGAGAAGAGGACAACGUGUGUGGGACGGAGAGACGUUUGGUUCUGGUCCACGACCCCACGGCAGCUGACCUUCUGAAACGUUUAACCAGAACCGUCAGAACCGAGACGUGGACCUGAUUGGUCGGGACGAGUCCCUCAGAGGACGCCGCUCAGCUCCCCGUGUUUCAAACAUAAACUCUGACCUGAGGCCUCCA